Long non-coding RNA from Myotis myotis, 1585 nucleotides. RefSeq lists it as uncharacterized. The record is from RefSeq and is a predicted model, not a curated record. Lineage: Eukaryota; Metazoa; Chordata; Mammalia; Chiroptera; Vespertilionidae. The transcript is spliced from 3 exons.
GAGGCCCCGGAGGGCGCGCCCAGCCGGGGGGUCGGCGGCACCAGCCCUCGCGCCCUGUCCCCGCUGGCCCGGAGCCCGGAGCCUGGGGCCCCGCGAGCUUUUCAGAGUCUGGAGCCCCUCCCCCCCCCCCAGGCUGUCCCGUGCUCAGGAGCCCCCAGAUUCCGGAGAGCCUCCUUUUGAAUAUAUUUCCCCUCUCGAGGAGCGAUGGCCCCUCCCCAUUCUCCUUUCACACAACCCCCCAUCCCCUAAAACGGGCUGGGCGCCCCUGGACACCGCGAGGAAGAGGAGGCGCCGCGGGAGCGCGGGAGGUGAGGAGUCACAGGGGCCUAGUGCAUGAGGCGUUGCUCCUUAGCCACCCAAGACAUUCCUGCUCCUGGGUCCCUUCCUCCGCAUAUGGGGGCACCUACACCUCUCCUCCCGCUCCGGCAUCUGCUUCACGGCCCCUUUCCUUUCACCUGGGUACCACUCCAGAGCAGAAGUGAUGGACAGCCUACAAGUGCACGUGUGUAUAAUGCAUAAGUGAACAUAAGCAUCUUCAAAAUUCGUCAUUUGCAAAGGAACAAGGCCUGCUGAGCUCCUCAAACUGCAACCCUAUCCAAUCGUGAAUUUAUGCCUGGAGCGCAACCCGGGAGAAGUCUGCUCUUCUGUGUCACCCAGCACUUGGAGCAUGUGCUUGCCUACGUAGAUGAGGAAGUGCCCGGCCACCUGGGCAGCAUGGGACAGGACCCGCAGCAUGCUCCUGCAACAGAAGGGACAGGGACACGCGUCAGGCCUGGAGGUCCGAGCCAGUGAAGAACAGAUGGAGUGGGGAUUUUUCACAACCCCUUUCCCCCAAACAUGCGCUCAGAGUAGGCAAUGCGCACACCUGCCCCCGCCCUCCCCGCCCCUCCUGCCUGGGCUAGCUUCAUAGGACCCGGGAGGUUCGAGCAGGACCUGGAACUCUGCAUUUCUGACCUUGUUUCCUGUCCUCUCAGCAGCUAUCAAAACUGAAGCCCUGAGUCACUGAGGUCAGUGGAGGCCCACAGGUGAGAUGCCUGCAGGGGAGAGCCAGCUUCUGUGCUUGCUUUCCCGUCUGGAUUCUGGCUCCAUAAAAAAUUUGGCCUCGGAGGAUGUGCCUUUCUUGAAGGACAUUUAGGCAUAUAAAAAGAUGUUUUCAUAUUUGCUUUACAUUUUUAGUGGGAGGGUUUUCCAAGACAUAUAAUCUAUAGUUUUCCCAGAAAUAGAAAACUAUUCUAUAUCUUAACUUUUCUAAAUCACUGUAGCCACACACACACACACACACACACACAUACACACACACACACCCCUAAUUUCAUUGGCUUGCUGGCCUCCUAAGGACAGAGACAGUGAAUGGUCACUGGGUCAUAUCUACAGGCUUUAAUAGGAUCGUAGCUACUUGCUUCCCAAAGCUUGUCCCUCAGAAUUAUUUGCUUUGAGUCAAACAACCCAUGUUCACAAAGAUGCUACAUUUCCUAGAAAUAUCCUAUAUAAUAAAAGGCUAAUAUGCAAAUUGACCAAACAGUGGAAUGACUAGUUGCUAUGAUGCACACUGACCACCAGGGGGCAGAAUAUCAACACAGGAGCU